Molecule: long non-coding RNA, 342 nt
Filed under: Elaeis guineensis (African oil palm)
Lineage: Eukaryota; Viridiplantae; Streptophyta; Magnoliopsida; Arecales; Arecaceae
Description: long non-coding RNA (EGUI_LNC040737)
Source: RNAcentral
CUAUGUGAAUAUGGUUACCGUAUAAUUCAUCCCUUUUUGACCCCUGUGUUUUAGGAUGACUCAGGGUUAAACUGUCAACCCUGAUGAUAUCAUCCGAAUCGUGCUCAACUCAAUUAGUCCUGUGACUCCUCACUAGGACUACUCUGGUCAAGGUUUUGCUAAAUUAAAACACGACUGUACAUAGCUCCUAAACUGGAGUGGUCAAUCCCAUCUUGACACACGCACCGAUAAGUCAAGUACUUGACUACACCCAGCAACCUUCCGUCACUGAAUUAAAAAUUCAGGUAGUCCAGUGCCUAAGUGCAGUGAGUUGCUUGCAAGUCACCGUGGCGGUCUCAGGUC